RNAcentral lists this ribosomal RNA (119 nucleotides) under Lepisosteus oculatus (spotted gar). The record is from RNAcentral. Lineage: Eukaryota; Metazoa; Chordata; Actinopteri; Semionotiformes; Lepisosteidae.
GCCAGCAGCCAUAUCACCCUGCAACUCACAACUGGCAACCCACUGUAGGUCAGCAGCUGUGAGCCUGGUCAGUACCUGGAUGGGAGACCUCCUGGAAAAAACUAAGGUUGCUGCUGGAA